This 763-nucleotide ribosomal RNA is filed under the name uncultured bacterium. RNAcentral's name for it is "bacterial SSU rRNA". It matches the Rfam family "Bacterial small subunit ribosomal RNA", at positions 61 to 802 of the family's 1533-position model. The record is from RNAcentral.
GUCGAACGGAGUUAAACUCGACACCCGAGUAUCCGGCCGGGAGGCGGGGUGCUGGGGGUUGGAUUUAACUUAGUGGCGGACGGGUGAGUAACGCGUGAGUAACCUGCCUUUCAGAGGGGGAUAACGUUCUGAAAAGAACGCUAAUACCGCAUAACAUCAAUUUAUCGCAUGAUAGGUUGAUCAAAGGAGCAAUCCGCUGGAAGAUGGACUCGCGUCCGAUUAGCCAGUUGGCGGGGUAACGGCCCACCAAAGCGACGAUCGGUAGCCGGACUGAGAGGUUGAACGGCCACAUUGGGACUGAGACACGGCCCAGACUCCUACGGGAGGCAGCAGUGGGGGAUAUUGCACAAUGGGGGAAACCCUGAUGCAGCAACGCCGCGUGAGGGAAGAAGGUUUUCGGAUUGUAAACCUCUGUUCUUAGUGACGAUAAUGACGGUAGCUAAGGAGAAAGCUCCGGCUAACUACGUGCCAGCAGCCGCGGUAAUACGUAGGGAGCGAGCGUUGUCCGGAUUUACUGGGUGUAAAGGGUGCGUAGGCGGCGAGGCAAGUCAGGCGUGAAAUCUAUGGGCUUAACCCAUAAACUGCGCUUGAAACUGUCUUGCUUGAGUGAAGUAGAGGUAGGCGGAAUUCCCGGUGUAGCGGUGAAAUGCGUAGAGAUCGGGAGGAACACCAGUGGCGAAGGCGGCCUACUGGGCUUUAACUGACGCUGAAGCACGAAAGCAUGGGUAGCAAACAGGAUUAGAUACCCUGGUAGUCCAUGCCG